This is a long non-coding RNA of Leptinotarsa decemlineata (Colorado potato beetle), 120 nucleotides long. The record is from RefSeq and is a predicted model, not a curated record. Lineage: Eukaryota; Metazoa; Arthropoda; Insecta; Coleoptera; Chrysomelidae.
UUCCAAAAAUUCGGCCUAGCGAUGUCCUGCUACAUCAGAAUGAGAAGAACUUUCUUACAAGGUCUCCUUUGGCUGUACCUUUUUGGAUUUGGUUUUAUGGCCCUAUCACUUGAACCUGGA